AUUGAACGCUGGCGGCAGGCCUAACACAUGCAAGUCGAACGGUAGCACAGAGAGCUUGCUCUCGGGUGACGAGUGGCGGACGGGUGAGUAAUGUCUGGGAAACUGCCCGAUGGAGGGGGAUAACUACUGGAAACGGUAGCUAAUACCGCAUAACGUCGCAAGACCAAAGUGGGGGACCUUCGGGCCUCACACCAUCGGAGGUGCCCAGAUGGGAUUAGCUAGUAGGUGGGGUAAUGGCUCACCUAGGCGACGAUCCCUAGCUGGUCUGAGAGGAUGACCAGCCACACUGGAACUGAGACACGGUCCAGACUCCUACGGGAGGCAGCAGUGGGGAAUAUUGCACAAUGGGCGCAAGCCUGAUGCAGCCAUGCCGCGUGUAUGAAGAAGGCCUUCGGGUUGUAAAGUACUUUCAGCGGGGAGGAAGGCGGUGGAGUUAAUAACUUCACCGAUUGACGUUACCCGCAGAAGAAACACCGGCUAACUCCGUGCCAGCCGCCGCCGUAA
Molecule: ribosomal RNA, 504 nt
Filed under: uncultured bacterium
Lineage: Bacteria
Description: partial 16S ribosomal RNA
Rfam family: Bacterial small subunit ribosomal RNA
Source: RNAcentral